RNAcentral lists this ribosomal RNA (492 nucleotides) under uncultured bacterium. RNAcentral's name for it is "partial 16S ribosomal RNA". It matches the Rfam family "Bacterial small subunit ribosomal RNA", at positions 29 to 507 of the family's 1533-position model. The record is from RNAcentral.
AGUGAACGCUGGCGGUAGGCCUAACACAUGCAAGUCGAACGGCAGCACAGUAAGAGCUUGCUCUUCCGGGUGGCGAGUGGCGGACGGGUGAGGAAUACAUCGUACUCUACUUUUUCGUGGGGGUUAAGGUAGGGAAACUUACGCUAAUACAGCAUAUGCCCUAGGGGUGAAAGCAGGGGAUCUUCGCACCUUGCGCGAUUGAAUGAGCCGAUGUUGGAUUAGUUAGUUGGGGGGGUAAAGGCCCACCAAGGCGACGAUCCGUAGCUGGUCUGAGUGGAUGAUCGGCCACACUGGAACUGAGACACGGUCCAGACGCCUACGGGAGGCAGCAGUGGGGAAUAUUGGACAAUGGGCGCAAGCCUGAUCCAGCCAUACCGCGUGGGUGAAGAAGGCCUUGGGGUUGUAAAGCCCUUUUGUUGGGAAAGAAAAGCAGCAGGUUAAUACCCCGCUGUUCUGACGGUACCCAAAGAAUAAGCACCGGCUAACUUCGUG